GAUGAACGCUGGCGGCGUGCCUAAUACAUGCAAGUCGAGCGAAUGGAUUAAGAGCUUGCUCUUAUGAAGUUAGCGGCGGACGGGUGAGUAACACGUGGGUAACCUGCCCAUAAGACUGGGAUAACUCCGGGAAACCGGGGCUAAUACCGGAUAACAUUUUGAACCGCAUGGUUCGAAAUUGAAAGGCGGCUUCGGCUGUCACUUAUGGAGGGAUUCGCGUCGCAUUAGCUAGUUGGUGAGGUAACGGCUCACCAAGGCAACGAUGCGUAGCCGACCUGAGAGGGCCAUCGGCCACACUGGGACUGAGACCCGGCCCAGACUCCUACGGGAGGCAGCAGUAGGGAAUCUUCCGCAAUGGACGAAAGUCUGACGGAGCAACGCCGCGUGAGUGAUGAAGGCUUUCGGGUCGUAAAACUCUGUUGUUAGGGAAGAACAAGUGCUAGUUGAAUAAGCUGGCACCUUGACGGUACCUAACCAGAAAGCCACGGCUAACUACGUGCCAGCCGCCGCCGUAA
RNAcentral lists this ribosomal RNA (515 nucleotides) under uncultured bacterium. Its description in RNAcentral is "partial 16S ribosomal RNA". It matches the Rfam family "Bacterial small subunit ribosomal RNA", at positions 28 to 523 of the family's 1533-position model. The record is from RNAcentral.